RNAcentral lists this ribosomal RNA (158 nucleotides) under Ficus vasculosa. RNAcentral describes it as "5.8S ribosomal RNA". It matches the Rfam family "5.8S ribosomal RNA". From Rfam's summary of the family: 5.8S ribosomal RNA (5.8S rRNA) is a component of the large subunit of the eukaryotic ribosome. Lineage: Eukaryota; Viridiplantae; Streptophyta; Magnoliopsida; Rosales; Moraceae. The record is from RNAcentral.
UCUCGGCAACGGAUAUCUCGGCUCUCGCAUCGAUGAAGAACGUAGCGAAAUGCGAUACUUGGUGUGAAUUGCAGAAUCCCGUGAACCAUCGAGUCUUUGAACGCAAGUUGCGCCCGAAGCCACCAGGUCGAGGGCACGUCUGCCUGGGCGUCACACGC